GAUGAACGCUGGCGGCGUGCCUAAUACAUGCAAGUCGAGCGAACAGACGAGGAGCUUGCUCCUCUGACGUUAGCGGCGGACGGGUGAGUAACACGUGGAUAACCUACCUAUAAGACUGGGAUAACUUCGGGAAACCGGAGCUAAUACCGGAUAAUAUAUUGAACCGCAUGGUUCAAUGGUGAAAGACGGUUUUGCUGUCACUUAUAGAUGGAUCCGCGCCGCAUUAGCUAGUUGGUAAGGUAACGGCUUACCAAGGCAACGAUGCGUAGCCGAGGUGAGAGGGUGAUCGGCGACACUGGAACUGAGACACGGUCCAGACUCCUACGGGAGGCAGCAGUAGGGAAUCGUCCGCAAUGGGCGAAAGCCUGACGGAGCAACGCCGCGUGAGUGAUGAAGGUCUUCGGAUCGUAAAACUCUGUUAUUAGGGAAGAACAAAUGUGUAAGUAACUAUGCACGUCUUGACGGUACCUAAUCAGAAAGCCACGGCUAACUACGUG
Molecule: ribosomal RNA, 497 nt
Filed under: uncultured bacterium
Lineage: Bacteria
Description: partial 16S ribosomal RNA
Rfam family: Bacterial small subunit ribosomal RNA
Source: RNAcentral